This 466-nucleotide ribosomal RNA is filed under the name uncultured bacterium. Its description in RNAcentral is "partial 16S ribosomal RNA". It matches the Rfam family "Bacterial small subunit ribosomal RNA", at positions 28 to 506 of the family's 1533-position model. The record is from RNAcentral.
GACGAACGCUGGCGGCGUGCUUAACACAUGCAAGUCGAACGGAAAGGCCUCUUUCGGGGGGUACUCGAGUGGCGAACGGGUGAGUAAUACGUGAGUAACCUGCCCUUGACUUUGGGAUAACUUCAGGAAACUGGGGCUAAUACCGGAUAGGAGCUCCUGCUGCAUGGUGGGGGUUGGAAAGUUUCGGCGGUUGGGGAUGGACUCGCGGCUUAUCAGCUUGUUGGUGGGGUAGUGGCUUACCAAGGCUUUGACGGGUAGCCGGCCUGAGAGGGUGACCGGCCACAUUGGGACUGAGAUACGGCCCAGACUCCUACGGGAGGCAGCAGUGGGGAAUAUUGCACAAUGGGUGGAAGCCUGAUGCAGCAACGCCGUGUGCGGGAUGACGGCCUUCGGGUUGUAAACCGCUUUCGCUCAUGACGAAGCUUUGUGUGACGGUAGUGGGUAAAGAAGCACCGGCUAACUACGU